This 429-nucleotide ribosomal RNA is filed under the name bacterium. RNAcentral's name for it is "partial 16S ribosomal RNA". It matches the Rfam family "Bacterial small subunit ribosomal RNA", at positions 355 to 776 of the family's 1533-position model. The record is from RNAcentral.
UAGGGAAUCUUCGGCAAUGGGGGCAACCCUGACCGAGCAACGCCGCGUGAGUGAAGAAGGUUUUCGGAUCGUAAAGCUCUGUUGUAAGAGAAGAACGUGUGUGAGAGUGGAAAGUUCACACAGUGACGGUAACUUACCAGAAAGGGACGGCUAACUACGUGCCAGCAGCCGCGGUAAUACGUAGGUCCCGAGCGUUGUCCGGAUUUAUUGGGCGUAAAGCGAGCGCAGGCGGUUUAAUAAGUCUGAAGUUAAAGGCAGUGGCUUAACCAUUGUUCGCUUUGGAAACUGUUAAACUUGAGUGCAGAAGGGGAGGGUGGAAUUCCAUGUGUAGAGGAGAAAUGCGUAGAUAUAUGGAGGAACACCGGUGGCGAAAGCGGCUCUCUGGUCUGUAACUGACGCUGAGGCUCGAAAGCGUGGGGAGCAAACAGG